AUUGAACGCUGGCGGAAUGCUUUACACAUGCAAGUCGAACGGCAGCACGGACUUCGGUCUGGUGGCGAGUGGCGAACGGGUGAGUAAUGUAUCGGAACGUGCCCAGUCGUGGGGGAUAACGUAGUGAAAAUUACGCUAAUACCGCAUACGAUCUAUGGAUGAAAGCGGGGGAUCGCAAGACCUCGCGCGAUUGGAGCGGCCGAUAUCAGAUUAGGUAGUUGGUGGGGUAAAGGCCCACCAAGCCAACGAUCUGUAGCUGGUCUGAGAGGACGACCAGGCACACUGGAACUGAGACACGGUCCAGACUCCUACGGGAGGCAGCAGUGGGGAAUUUUGGACAAUGGGCGAAAGCCUGAUCCAGCCAUUCCGCGUGCAGGAUGAAGGCCCUCGGGUUGUAAACUGCUUUUGUACAGAACGAAAAGGUUUCUACUAAUACUAGGAGCUCAUGACGGUACUGUAAGAAUAAGCACCGGCUUACUACGUGCCAGCAGCCGCAGUAA
Molecule: ribosomal RNA, 500 nt
Filed under: uncultured bacterium
Lineage: Bacteria
Description: partial 16S ribosomal RNA
Rfam family: Bacterial small subunit ribosomal RNA
Source: RNAcentral